This is a non-coding RNA of Zopfia rhizophila CBS 207.26, 70 nucleotides long. The record is from the annotation of a GenBank genome assembly. NCBI's taxonomy places the organism in Eukaryota, Fungi, Ascomycota, Dothideomycetes, Zopfiaceae.
GGGCGUAUAGCUCAGUGGUAGAGCGCCCGCUUUGCAUGCGGGAGGUCUUGGGGUGAGUUUAAUAUUUCUC